Molecule: ribosomal RNA, 1407 nt
Filed under: Architeuthis dux (giant squid)
Lineage: Eukaryota; Metazoa; Mollusca; Cephalopoda; Oegopsida; Architeuthidae
Description: 16S ribosomal RNA
Rfam family: Bacterial large subunit ribosomal RNA (bases 978-1346)
Source: RNAcentral
AUAUUUGUUUGUUGUAUGUAUAUAUAAAACUUAAGUGUGUAUUAUCAUAUUUCAUUUUAGGUGAGGGUUAAAUUAUGUUGUAGUUAGUUUUAGUAGAAUAGUUAAGUUAUAUUAAGUAUAUUGUUUGGUUAAAUAGAUUAAAUUGUUUAUUUAUUUAGUAUUAGUAGUAUAGAAAUAAAUGUUGAUUGUAAGUACUGUAGAGGAAAUUAUUUUAGUAUCUGUUGUUUAGUAGGGAUUUGUUUUCGUACCUUUUGUAUAAUGGAUUAAUGAUUGGUGAUUGUUUUAUAAUGAUUUCUCGAAGUGAAAGGAUUUACUUAAUAGGUUGUAUGUUAACGUUGUAUAGUUAUAUAUUGAUUAUUAAGUGGUAAUGAAAUGUUUAUCGUUUUUCGUGAUAGCUAGUUUAUUGGUGUAAAAUAUUUAAGUAUUGUAAUGUUAGGUGUAGUGUUGUGCUGAUUUGACAUUAGCUUACUAUAUGGGGGAUAAGCUUCAUAUAAUUUAAUAGAAUUUGUUGUGUACUAGUUGUAAUUUAAGUAGAAUUAAUAAUGUUUUUCUUUAAAAGUAGUUUAAAUUUUUGUUGUAAAUUAGUAAAUUCAUGUUUAGGUAGCUGAUAAAUGUUUAUGAAUUGUUUUAUAGAUAUUUAUAAUGUUAAUAUGAGUAUUAGUUAUUAUUAUAUUAUGUUUAAUUAUUAUUAUAGGUGUAUAUAGUUUAUAUUAUUAGUAUAGAGUUAAGUAGGGUAAAGGAAUUCGGCAAAUAUUAAUCUCGCCUGUUUAUCAAAAACAUGUCUCUUUGUUAAUUAUAAAUAGAGAGUCGGGCCUGCUCGGUGAAUAAUCAUUUUAACAGCUGCGGUAUUUUAACUGUACUAAGGUAGCAUAAUAAUUUGCCUUAUAAUUUGAGGCUAGAAUGAAUGGUUUGACGAAGGUUAAUCUGUCUCUACUCUAUUUUUUAGAAUUUAAUUUUUAUAGUGAAAAAGCUUGUAUUUUUUAAAGGGACGAGAAGACCCUAUUGAGCUUAUAAUUUUAUUGUUGUUUUGUAAUUAUUUAUGUGAUGAUAGAUAAAUUUUAAUUGGGGUGAUUGAGGAAUAAGGUAAUAGUAGUAACUUCCUUAGAAAUAAAUGUUGUUGGGUGAAGUAACCAAUAUAUUAUUGCUUAUAAUAUAGUUACCAUAGGGAUAACAGCGUAAUUUGUUUAGAGAGUUCUUAUUGAAAAAUGAGAUUGCGACCUCGAUGUUGGAUUAAAGUAACCUUAAGGUGCAGAAGCUUUAAUAAGGUAAAUCUGUUCGAUUUUUAAAACUUUACAUGAUCUGAGUUCAGACCGGCGUGAGCCAGGUUGGUUUCUAUCUUUUAAAAAUGAUUAUUGCUUCUUUUAGUACGAAAGGACCAAAGAUAGCUAAAAGUUUGUUAAUUAUAAU